GAUGUUUUGAGUGGGGUUAUGAUUUGUAGGUUUGUUGAUAGAUUUUUUAGAAAAAUAAAUAAGAGAAAAGUAUUAAAGAUGAGAAUAGGGAUUAGGAUGAAGAUAUGUAUGUAUAGAGGGAUUAUUUUAGUAAUUUGUAAGUUUUUUGUAUAAAAUUGAUGGGAUUAUGAUUUAGUUAUUUUUUAAAUAAUUGGUAUAAUGUUUUAUAUAAAGUAGGUAGUUUGUA
RNAcentral lists this unclassified non-coding RNA (226 nucleotides) under Hevea brasiliensis (rubber tree). Lineage: Eukaryota; Viridiplantae; Streptophyta; Magnoliopsida; Malpighiales; Euphorbiaceae. The record is from RNAcentral.